GAUGAACGCUAGCUACAGGCUUAACACAUGCAAGUCGAGGGGAAACGAUAUUGGAAGCUUGCUUCUGAUAGGCGUCGACCGGCGCACGGGUGAGUAACACGUAUCCAACCUGCCGAUAACUCGGGGAUAGCCUUUCGAAAGAAAGAUUAAUAUCCGAUAGUAUAUUAAAACCGCAUGGUUUUACUAUUAAAGAAUUUCGGUUAUCGAUGGGGAUGCGUUCCAUUAGUUUGUUGGCGGGGUAACGGCCCACCAAGACUACGAUGGAUAGGGGUUCUGAGAGGAAGGUCCCCCACAUUGGAACUGAGACACGGUCCAAACUCCUACGGGAGGCAGCAGUGAGGAAUAUUGGUCAAUGGACGAGAGUCUGAACCAGCCAAAGUAGCGUGAAGGAUGACUGCCCUAUGGGUUGUAAAACUUCUUUUAUAUGGGGAAUAAAAGUAUUCCACGUGUGGGAUUUUGUAUGUACCAUAUGAAUAAGGAUCGGNUAACUCCGUG
Molecule: ribosomal RNA, 495 nt
Filed under: uncultured bacterium
Lineage: Bacteria
Description: bacterial SSU rRNA
Rfam family: Bacterial small subunit ribosomal RNA
Source: RNAcentral